AUUGAACGCUGGCGGCAUGCCUAACACAUGCAAGUCGAACGGCAGCACGGUCUAGCUUGCUAGAUGGGUGGCGAGUGGCGCACGGGUGAGUAACGCGUAGGAAUAUGCCUUGAAGUGGGGGAUAACUUGGGGAAACUCAAGCUAAUACCGCAUAAGCUCUUAGGAGGAAAGCUGGGGACCGUAAGGCCUGGCGCUUCAAGAUUAGCCUGCGUCCGAUUAGCUAGUUGGUGGGGUAAGGGCCUACCAAGGCGACGAUCGGUAGCUGGUCUGAGAGGAUGGCCAGCCACACUGGGACUGAGACACGGCCCAGACUCCUACGGGAGGCAGCAGUGGGGAAUAUUGGACAAUGGGGGCAACCCUGAUCCAGCAAUGCCGCGUGUGUGAAGAAGGCCUGAGGGUUGUAAAGCACUUUCAGUGGGGAGGAGGAUUGACAGGUUAAGAGCUAGUUAAUUGGACGUUACCCACAGAAGAAGCACCGGCUAACUCCGUGCCAGCAGCCGCGGUAA
Molecule: ribosomal RNA, 506 nt
Filed under: uncultured bacterium
Lineage: Bacteria
Description: partial 16S ribosomal RNA
Rfam family: Bacterial small subunit ribosomal RNA
Source: RNAcentral